CCUACGGGUGGCAGCAGUGGGGAAUAUUGGACAAUGGACGCAAGUCUGACCCAGCAACGCCGCGUGCAGGAUGAAGGUUUUCGGAUUGUAAACCUCUAUCAUAAGGGACGAAAGAUGUGACGGUACCUGAAGAAGAAGCCGCGGCUAACUACGCGCCAGCAGCCGCGGUAAUACGUAGGGGGCGAGUGUUCUCCGGAUUUACUGGGUGUCAAGGGUGAGUAGGUGGUAUGGUAAGACAGAUGUGAAAGCCUGGGGCUUAACCCCAGGAUUGCAUUUAAAACUAUCGAGCUAGAGUACAGGAGAGGAAAGUGGAAUUCCUAGUGUAGCGGUGGAAUGCGUAGAUAUUAGGAAGAACACCAGUGGCGAAGGCGGCUUACUGGACUGAAACUGACGCUGAGGCACGAAAGCGUGGGGAGCAAACAGGAUUAGAUACCCUAGUAGUC
Molecule: ribosomal RNA, 443 nt
Filed under: uncultured bacterium
Lineage: Bacteria
Description: partial 16S ribosomal RNA
Rfam family: Bacterial small subunit ribosomal RNA
Source: RNAcentral